AGAGUUUGAUCAUGGCUCAGGAUGAACGCUAGCGGCAGGCUUAACACAUGCAAGUCGAGGGGUAUGGUAGCAAUACCAGAGACCGGCGCACGGGUGAGUAACGCGUAUGCAACCUUUCCUUAACUGGGGGAUAGCCCAGGGAAACUUGGAUUAAUACCCCAUAGUUCUGUUUGGCCGCAUGGCCAGGCAAAUAAAGUUCCGGCGGUUAAGGAUGGGCAUGCGUGCCAUUAGGUAGUUGGUAGGGUAACGGCCUACCAAGCCUACGAUGGCUACGGGGUCUAAAAGGAUGGUCCCGCACACUGGUACUGAGACACGGACCAGACUCCUACGGGAGGCAGCAGUGAGGAAUAUUGGUCAAUGGGCGCAAGCCUGAACCAGCCAUGCCGCGUGAAGGAAGACUGCCCUAUGGGUUGUAAACUUCUUUUAUACGGGAAUAAUAAGGGCCACGUGUGGCCCGAUGAAGGUACUGUAUGAAUAAGCAUCGGCUAACUCCGUGCCAGCAGCCGCGGUAAUACGGAGGAUGCAGGCGUUAUCCGGAUUUAUUAGGUUUAAAGGGUGCGUAGGCGGCCAAGUAAGUCAGUGGUGAAAGUUUGCGGCUUAACCGUAAAAUUGCCAUUGAUACUGUUUGGCUUGGAUUUAGUAGAAGUUGGCGGAAUGUGCAGUGUAGCGGAAAUGCUUAGAUAUUGCACAGAACACCGAUUGCGAAGGCAGCUGACUAUGCUAACAUCGACGCUGAGGCACGAAAGCGUGGGGAUCGAACAGGAUUAGAUACCCUAGUAGUCC
Molecule: ribosomal RNA, 783 nt
Filed under: uncultured bacterium
Lineage: Bacteria
Description: bacterial SSU rRNA
Rfam family: Bacterial small subunit ribosomal RNA
Source: RNAcentral